CCACUCUCUCUACUCUCUCUUUUCUCUCUUUCCUUCUCUCUCCUUCAAAUUCUUUUUUGUAAUCUGAACGGAAUUUUUCUUAAUCAGCCGUCAUCUCCGUCGUUCGCCGGGUGGCGCCACUGGUAAACUGCCGUCCGUACGCCGAUCCAACCAGUGCCCUCAGGAAAAACAAAAAAAGUUCACAAUAUCUUGUUAGACGAUUUUGCCCCUGGGAAUAUCAACUUCCUACGGUUUUGCCACCGGGGCCUAGGUUACUGGCAUUUAACAAAGGGCCGAGAAAAAAAAGGCAAAUGAGUUUCCAUUGCCACAGCCGUGGGCUGUUAUCAGCUGGGCCGUCAAGAAAGCGGAAGGAGCCGUCGGCUCUUAAAGCCGGUGAGCAGCCAAUUACGUCGAACCGGCUUCUGGCCGGGUACAUGGCUUAUGAGUUUCUGACCAAAGGAACCAUCUUGGGCAGGAAGUUCGACCCGGAUCGAGCCGAAGCAAGCCCAUUCCCGAACGCCGUUGCUCAGUACAAGAAGCCGAAGACGGAAGCCGCGCCGCCGGAGAUCAU
Molecule: long non-coding RNA, 550 nt
Organism: Cucurbita moschata (crookneck pumpkin)
Lineage: Eukaryota; Viridiplantae; Streptophyta; Magnoliopsida; Cucurbitales; Cucurbitaceae
Exons: 2
Source: RefSeq, a predicted model, not a curated record